Molecule: ribosomal RNA, 363 nt
Filed under: Triticum aestivum (bread wheat)
Lineage: Eukaryota; Viridiplantae; Streptophyta; Magnoliopsida; Poales; Poaceae
Description: partial small subunit ribosomal RNA
Source: RNAcentral
AUGACCAUCGCAAGCCGUAGGGUACUCGUCCGAGUAGUUUUGAGCUCACUGCCAACCUACACCCUGACUUUCCUAACGGUGCCAAAGUAGUUCUUCAAAGACAUCGACAAGUCGCGGCGUCAUUUUCUGUGGGCACAAGAAGAAGAACUAACAGGGGGCAAAUGCAAGGUGGCAUGGGCCAAGGUGUGCUCACCGAUCGAGUUUGGAGGGCUGGGGAUCAUGAACCUAGAGCUCUUCAGCCGGGCCCUGAGGAUCCGGUGGCUAUGGAACUCAUGGAAGCACCCUGACAGGCCUUGGAUUGGCACAACGCUGCCCUGUGAUCGCAGCGACCAUGCCCUCUUCAGUGCAGCUACCACGGUGUAG